GUAGUGCUUUGGCUCUGCCGCUGGCGCAGCAUUUACCACUUUUCCCCGUGGAACUGUUGGUUCUGGUGCAGCGCGAGAGGAAAGUCCGGGCAGCAUAGGACGCUCCACUUCUGAAAGUAGAAGCUGUCUGCGAAGGCAGGUCAGGGUAGAAGAAAACAACCGCUCCGCUUAAGGGAGUAAGGGUGAGAAGGUGGUGUAAGAGACCACCAGCCGGCGGGUGAUCGUCGGGCUGUGCCCACUGGAGGCUGCAAGUUCAUGUAAACCAUCGACCGAGGGUUGUCCGCCCGAGUGAAGCAAUUCAGCGAUGGAGGGUAGAACGCUAGAGCCGCAGGGCGACCUGCGGAGUAGAUAAAUGGCAGGCACCUGACAGCCUGUGGCGUCAGGAACAGAACCCGGCUUAUAGAAGCACUGCAUUC
This 416-nucleotide RNase P RNA is filed under the name Prevotella sp. RNAcentral describes it as "RNase P RNA component class A". It matches the Rfam family "Bacterial RNase P class A". From Rfam's summary of the family: Ribonuclease P (RNase P) is a ubiquitous endoribonuclease, found in archaea, bacteria and eukarya as well as chloroplasts and mitochondria. Lineage: Bacteria; Pseudomonadati; Bacteroidota; Bacteroidia; Bacteroidales; Prevotellaceae. The record is from RNAcentral.